UCCGGGGUAGCUCAAUCGGCAGAGCAACGGGCUGUUAACCCGCAGGUUGCGAGUUCGAGUCUCGCCCCCGGAG
This 73-nucleotide transfer RNA is filed under the name Gemmatimonadota bacterium. RNAcentral describes it as "Gemmatimonadetes bacterium tRNA-Asn". It matches the Rfam family "tRNA". From Rfam's summary of the family: Transfer RNA (tRNA) molecules are approximately 80 nucleotides in length. RNAcentral also lists the same sequence under 1 other name. The record is from RNAcentral. Lineage: Bacteria; Pseudomonadati; Gemmatimonadota.